Molecule: ribosomal RNA, 379 nt
Filed under: uncultured organism
Description: partial 16S ribosomal RNA
Rfam family: Bacterial small subunit ribosomal RNA
Source: RNAcentral
GUAGGUGGCAAGCGUUGUCCGGGAAUUAUUGGGGCGUAAAGCGCGCGCAGGUGGUUCUUUAAGUCUGAUGUGAAAGCCCCCCGGGCUCAACCGGGGGAGGGGUCAUUGGAAGCUGGGGAACUUGAGUGCAGGAGAGGAAAGUGGAAUUCCACGUGUAGCGGUGAAAUGCGUAGAUAUGUGGAGGAACACCAGUGGCGAAGGCGACUUUCUGGCCUGUAACUGACACUGAGGCGCGAAAGCGUGGGGAGCAAACAGGAUUAGAUACCCUGGUAGUCCACGCCGUAAACGAUGAGUGCUAAGUGUUGGGGGGUUUCCGCCCCUCAGUGCUGCAGCUAACGCAUUAAGCACUCCGCCUGGGGAGUACGGUCGCAAAGACUGA